This 730-nucleotide ribosomal RNA is filed under the name uncultured bacterium. RNAcentral's name for it is "bacterial SSU rRNA". It matches the Rfam family "Bacterial small subunit ribosomal RNA", at positions 56 to 776 of the family's 1533-position model. The record is from RNAcentral.
UGCAGUCGAGGGGCAGCAUGGGCUUAGCUUGCUAAGCCCGAUGGCGACCGUGCGCACGGGUGAGUAACACGUAUCCAACCUUCCGGUAACUCCGGUAUAGCCUUUCGAAAGAAAGAUUAAUCCCGGAUAGUAUGGUGAUUCCGCAUGGUUUUUCCAUUAAAGGAUUCCGGUUACCGAUGGGGAUGCGUUCCAUUAGGCAGUUGGCGGGGUAACGGCCCACCAAACCUACGAUGGAUAGGGGUUCUGAGAGGAAGGUCCCCCACAUUGGGACUGAGACACGGUCCAAACUCCUACGGGAGGCAGCAGUGAGGAAUAUUGGUCAAUGGGCGGAAGCCUGAACCAGCCAAGUAGCGUGAAGGAUGACUGCCCUAUGGGUUGUAAACUUCUUUUAUAAGGGAAUAAUUGCGGGUACGCGUACCCGUUUGCAUGUACCUUAUGAAUAAGGAUCGGCUAACUCCGUGCCAGCAGCCGCGGUAAUACGGAGGAUCCGAGCGUUAUCCGGAUUUAUUGGGUUUAAAGGGAGCGUAGGCGGGCGCUUAAGUCAGCUGUGAAAGUUUGGGGCUCAACCUUAAAAUUGCAGUUGAUACUGGGUGCCUUGAGUGCAGUAUAGGCAGGCGGAAUUCGUGGUGUAGCGGUGAAAUGCUUAGAUAUCACGAAGAACUCCUAUUGCGAAGGCAGCUUGCUGGAGUGUAACUGACGCUGAUGCUCGAAAGUGUGGGUAUCAAACAGG